UACUAUGGAGAGUUUGAUCCUGGCUCAGGAUGAACGCUAGCGGCAGGCUUAAUACAUGCAAGUCGAGGGGCAGCACGGGUAGCAAUACCUGGUGGCGACCGGCGCACGGGUGCGUAACGCGUAUGUAAUCUACCAUUAACCGGGGAAUAGCCCAGAGAAAUCUGGAUUAAUGCCCCAUAGUAUUAUCGAAAGGCAUCUUUUGAUAAUUAAAGCUCAGGCGGUUUUUGAUGAACAUGCGUGUCAUUAGUUUGUUGGUGAGGUAACGGCUCACCAAGACUACGAUGACUAGGGGGUCUGAGAGGAUGAUCCCCCACACUGGUACUGAGACACGGACCAGACUCCUACGGGAGGCAGCAGUAAGGAAUAUUGGGCAAUGGAGGCAACUCUGACCCAGCCAUGCCGCGUGAAGGAUUGACGGCCCUCUGGGUUGUAAACUUCUUUUGUACGGGAAUAACCCUCCGAACGUGUUCGGAGCUGAAGGUACCGUAAGAAUAAGGAUCGGCUAACUCCGUGCCAGCAGCCGCGGUAAUACGGAGGAUCCAAGCGUUAUCCGGAUUUACUGGGUUUAAAGGGUGCGUAGGCGGAUUGAUAAGUCAGUGGUGAAAGCCUGCAGCUUAACUGCAGAACUGCCAUUGAUACUGCCAGUCUGGAGUAUGGUUGAGGUAGCUGGAAUGUGUCAUGUAGCGGUGAAAUGCUUAGAGAUGACACAGAACACCGACGGCGAAGGCAGGUUACCAACCCAUUACUGACGCUGAGGCACGAAAGCGUGGGGAUCAAACAGGAUUAGAUACCCUGGUAGUCCACGCCGUAAACGAUGAGUGCUAGGUGUCGGGGGUAUCGACCCCCUCGGUGCCACAGCUAACGCAAUAAGCACUCCGCCUGGGGAGUACGGCCGCAAGGUUGAAACUCAAAG
Molecule: ribosomal RNA, 913 nt
Filed under: Bacteroidales bacterium
Lineage: Bacteria; Pseudomonadati; Bacteroidota; Bacteroidia; Bacteroidales
Description: bacterial SSU rRNA
Rfam family: Bacterial small subunit ribosomal RNA
Source: RNAcentral